GACGAACGCUGGCGGCGUGCUUAACACAUGCAAGGCGAACGGAAAGGCCCUGCUUUUGUGGGGUGCGCGAGUGGCGAACGGGUGAGUAACACGUGAGUAACCUGCCCUUGACGUUGGGAUAACUUCAGGUAACUGGGGCUAAUACCGGAUAGGAGCUCCUGCUGCAUGGUGGGGGUUGGAAAGUUUCGGCGGUUGGGGAUGGACUCGCGGCUUAUCAGCUUGUUGGUGGGGUAGUGGCUUACCAAGGCUUUGACGGGUAGCCGGCCUGAGAGGGUGACCGGCCACAUUGGGACUGAGAUACGGCCCAGACCCGUCCGGGAGGCAGAAGUGGGGAAUAUUGCAAGAUGGGCGGAACCCUGAUGCAGCAACGCCGCGUGCCGGAUGACGGCCUUCGGGUUGUAUACCGCUUUCGCCUGUGCCGCAGCGUGAGUGACGGUCAUGGGUCAAGAAGCACCGGCUAACUACGUG
Molecule: ribosomal RNA, 468 nt
Filed under: uncultured bacterium
Lineage: Bacteria
Description: partial 16S ribosomal RNA
Rfam family: Bacterial small subunit ribosomal RNA
Source: RNAcentral